CACCUGCCCACUACUGGCUUCAGCCUCUCCAACAACCAGAAUAUAGUUAUAUUGUGCCACUUGAGCCUCUCGUACCUUUUUCUGAAUUGUCCUGUCACUUGUAUCAACAUCAACGUAAUAACCAGCAUCAUGUAUCUGCUCCCGGAGCUUAAGUGCAUAUGACUGCGAUUUGUCAGAAACAGGGCAGACCAUAGCUUGACGUGGACUAAGCCAGAAAG
RNAcentral lists this unclassified non-coding RNA (218 nucleotides) under Hevea brasiliensis (rubber tree). The record is from RNAcentral. Lineage: Eukaryota; Viridiplantae; Streptophyta; Magnoliopsida; Malpighiales; Euphorbiaceae.